This 486-nucleotide ribosomal RNA is filed under the name uncultured bacterium. RNAcentral's name for it is "bacterial SSU rRNA". It matches the Rfam family "Bacterial small subunit ribosomal RNA", at positions 28 to 509 of the family's 1533-position model. The record is from RNAcentral.
GACGAACGCUGGCGGCGUGCUUAACACAUGCAAGUCGAACGAAGCAAUUUGAUCGGAUCUCGUUCGGAGUGACGAACGUUAUUGACUGAGUGGCGGACGGGUGAGUAACGCGUGGGUAACCUGCCUUGCACAGGGGGAUAACAGUUAGAAAUGACUGCUAAUACCGCAUAACCCGCUAGUACCGCAUGGUACGGACGGAAAAGAUUUUAUCGGUGUAAGAUGGACCCGCGUCUGAUUAGCUAGUUGGUGAGGUAACGGCUCACCAAGGCAACGAUCAGUAGCCGACUUGAGAGAGUGAUCGGCCACAUUGGGACUGAGACACGGCCCAAACUCCUACGGGAGGCAGCAGUGGGGAAUAUUGCACAAUGGGGGAAACCCUGAUGCAGCGACGCCGCGUGAGCGAAGAAGUAUCUCGAUAUGUAAAGCUCUAUCGGCAGGGAAGACAAUGACGGUACCUGACUAAGAAGCUCCGGCUAAAUACGUGCC